GAGUUUGAUCCUGGCUCAGGACGAACGCUGGCGGCGUGCUUAACACAUGCAAGUCGAGCGGAGACAAUUGACUUCGGUUGAUUGUUUUAGCGGCGGACGGGUGAGUAACGCGUGAGCAAUCUGUCCCAGACAGGGGGAUAACACUUGGAAACAGGUGCUAAUACCGCAUAAGACCACGAGAUCACAUGGUUUCGGGGUAAAAGGAGGAAUCCGGUUUGGGGUGAGCUCGCGUCCGAUUAGCUAGUUGGUGAGGUAACGGCCCACCAAGGCGACGAUCGGUAGCCGACCUGAGAGGGUGAUCGGCCACAUUGGAACUGAGAAACGGUCCAAACUCCUACGGGAGGCAGCAGUGGGGAAUAUUGGGCAAUGGGCGAAAGCCUGACCCAGCAACGCCGCGUGAGGGAAGAAGGUUUUCGGAUUGUAAACCUCUGUCCUCAGGGACGAAGGAAGUGACGGUACCUGAGGAGGAAGCCCCGGCUAACUACGUGCCAGCCGCCGCGGUAAUUC
RNAcentral lists this ribosomal RNA (507 nucleotides) under uncultured bacterium. RNAcentral's name for it is "bacterial SSU rRNA". It matches the Rfam family "Bacterial small subunit ribosomal RNA", at positions 9 to 526 of the family's 1533-position model. The record is from RNAcentral.